RNAcentral lists this ribosomal RNA (861 nucleotides) under uncultured bacterium. RNAcentral's name for it is "bacterial SSU rRNA". It matches the Rfam family "Bacterial small subunit ribosomal RNA", at positions 58 to 960 of the family's 1533-position model. The record is from RNAcentral.
CAAGUCGAACGGUUGAGACCGCAAGGUCAAGACAGUGGCAGACGGGUGAGUAACGCGUAGGAAUCUAUCCCUAGGUGGAGUAUAGCCCUCCGAAAGGAGGGGUAAUUCUCCAUAGUUCCCGUAAGGGUAAAGGACUUAACGGUCCGCCAAGGGAGGAGCCUGCGUCCUAUCAGCUAGUUGGCGGGGUAAAUGCCCACCAAGGCGAUGACGGGUAGCUGGACUGAGAGGUCGAUCAGCCACAACUGCACUGAGACACGGGCAGUACACCUACGGGUGGCAGCAACCAGGAAUAUUGCGCAAUGGACGAAAGUCUGACGCAGCGACGCCGCGUGGAGGAAGAAGACCUUCGGGUUGUAAACUCCUUUUGCCAAGCCGUUCACAGCUUGGCGAAUAAGCCUCUACUAACUACGUGCCAGAAGUCUCGGUAAUACGUAGGAGGCAAGCGUUAUCCGGAUUUACUGGGCGUAAAGUGUGCGUAGGCGUUCCAUAAAGUCUUUGCUUAAAGACCAAGGCUUACCCUUGGCAGUGGUAGAGAUACUCAUGGAAUUGAGGAUUGGCAGGGAUGCUGGAACAGCUGGUGUAGCGGUGAAAUGCGUUGAUAUCAGCUGGAACACCAAGGGCGAAGGCAAGCAUCUGUGCUCUUCCUGACGCUGAGGCACGAAAGCUAGGGUAGCGAAACAGAUUAGAUACCUGUGUAGUCCUAGCUGUAAACAAUGUCCGCUAGCUCUUACCCGUAAGGGUAGGGGUGUAAGCUAACGCGUUAAGCGGACCGCCUGGGGAGUACGGCCGCAAGGCUAAAACUCAAAGGAAUUGACGGGGACCCGCACAACCUGUGGAGCGUGUGGUUUAAUUCGAGACAAA